RNAcentral lists this unclassified non-coding RNA (573 nucleotides) under Geomyces vinaceus. RNAcentral describes it as "sequence contains 18S rRNA gene, ITS1, 5.8S rRNA gene, ITS2, 28S rRNA gene". The stretch from base 219 to 372 matches the Rfam family "5.8S ribosomal RNA". The record is from RNAcentral. Lineage: Eukaryota; Fungi; Ascomycota; Leotiomycetes; Thelebolales; Pseudeurotiaceae.
AGUCGUAACAAGGUUUCCGUAGGUGAACCUGCGGAAGGAUCAUUACAGUAGUCACCCAGGUUGCCGCAAGGCCUCCUGGGUAACCUACCACCCUUUGUUUAUUACACUUUGUUGCUUUGGCAAGCCUGCCCUCGGGCUGCUGGCUCCGGCCGGCGAGCGCUUGCCAGAGGACCUAAACUCUGUUUGUCUAUACUGUCUGAGUACUAUAUAAUAGUUAAAACUUUCAACAACGGAUCUCUUGGUUCUGGCAUCGAUGAAGAACGCAGCGAAAUGCGAUAAGUAAUGUGAAUUGCAGAAUUCAGUGAAUCAUCGAAUCUUUGAACGCACAUUGCGCCCCCUGGUAUUCCGGGGGGCAUGCCUGUCCGAGCGUCAUUACAACCCUCAAGCUCAGCUUGGUAUUGGGCCCCGCCGACCCGGCGGGCCCUAAAGUCAGUGGCGGUGCCGUCCGGCUCCGAGCGUAGUAAUUCUUCUCGCUCUGGAGGUCCGGUCGUGUGCUCGCCAGCAACCCCCAAUUUUUUUCAGGUUGACCUCGGAUCAGGUAGGGAUACCCGCUGAACUUAAGCAUAUCAAUAA